GGUAAACGCUGGCGGCGUGCCUAAAACAUGCAAGUCGAACGCGUACCUUCGGGUGCGAGUGGCAGACGGCUGAGUAACGCGUGGGUGACGUACCUGUUGGUGGGGAAUAACUGCCCGAAAGGGUGGCUAAUUCCGCAUACGCCUGCUUCUGCGUUGAAGUAGGGAAAGUCGCAAGACGCCGAUGGAGCGGCCCGCGUUCGAUUAGCUAGCCGU
Molecule: ribosomal RNA, 213 nt
Filed under: uncultured bacterium
Lineage: Bacteria
Description: partial 16S ribosomal RNA
Rfam family: Bacterial small subunit ribosomal RNA
Source: RNAcentral